This 628-nucleotide ribosomal RNA is filed under the name Ochromonas sp. CCMP1393. Its description in RNAcentral is "partial Bacterial large subunit ribosomal RNA". It matches the Rfam family "Bacterial large subunit ribosomal RNA", at positions 498 to 1129 of the family's 2925-position model. Lineage: Eukaryota; Chrysophyceae; Chromulinales; Chromulinaceae. The record is from RNAcentral.
GUACCGUGAGGGAAAGAUGAAAAGUACCCCGAUGAGGGGAGUGAAACAGUACCUGAAACCGAACGCCUACAAUCAGUCGGAGCCUCCUUGCGGGGUGACGGCGUACCUUUUGUAUAAUGGGUCAGCGACUUAUAUUUAGUAGCAAGGUUAAGCGAAUAGCGGAGCCGUAGCGAAAGCGAGUGUUAACUGCGCGUUUAGUUGCUAGGUAUAGACCCGAAACCCGGUGAUCUAGCCAUGGGCAGGUUGAAGGUUGAGUAACAUCAACUGGAGGACCGAACCCACUAACGUUGAAAAGUUAGGGGAUGACUUGUGGCUGGGGGUGAAAGGCCAAUCAAACCGGGAGAUAGCUGGUUCUCCCCGAAAUCUAUUUAGGUAGAGCCUCGGACGAAUUCCAUUGGGGGUAGAGCACUGUUAAGGCUAGGGGGUCAUCCCGACUUACCAACCCUUUGCAAACUCCGAAUACCAAUGAGAACUAUCCGGGAGACACACGGCGGGUGCUAACGUCCGUCGUGAAGAGGGAAACAACCCAGACCGCCAGCUAAGGUCCCAAAAUAUUGCUAAGUGGGAAACGAUGUGGGAAGGCAUAGACAGCUAGGAGGUUGGCUUAGAAGCAGCCACCCUUUAAAGA